RNAcentral lists this ribosomal RNA (447 nucleotides) under uncultured bacterium. RNAcentral describes it as "bacterial LSU rRNA". It matches the Rfam family "Bacterial large subunit ribosomal RNA", at positions 1931 to 2386 of the family's 2925-position model. The record is from RNAcentral.
CGGCCGUAACUAUAACGGUCCUAAGGUAGCGAAAUUCCUUGUCGGGUAAGUUCCGACCUGCACGAAUGGCGUAACGACUUCCGCGCUGUCUCGACCAGGGACUCAGCGAAAUUGACAUUGGGGUGAAGAUGCCCCAUACCCGCGGCAAGACGGAGAGACCCUGUGAACCUUUACUCUAACUUGGCAGUGGCAUUCGGUUCAGUUUGUGUAGGAUAGGUGGGAGGCUAUGAAGUUGGGGCGCCAGCCUUGAUGGAGCCAACGUUGAAAUACCACCCCUGGUUGUUCUGAAUGCCUAACCCGCGCGUCGGGGACACUGUCUGGUGGGGAGUUUGACUGGGGCGGUCGCCUCCCAAAACGUAACGGAGGCGCGCAAAGGUUCCCCUCAGCCUGAUUGGAAACCAGGCGCAGAGUGCAAUGAUACAAGGGAGCUUGACUGCGAGAUCGACA